This 5122-nucleotide long non-coding RNA is filed under the name Brassica napus (rape). Its description in RNAcentral is "long non-coding RNA (BNAP_LNC011388)". Lineage: Eukaryota; Viridiplantae; Streptophyta; Magnoliopsida; Brassicales; Brassicaceae. The record is from RNAcentral.
UCAUAGGAAUGAGACUAGAGCUAUCUCCUCAUUCAUUGAGGAAAUGAACUCUAACAGCUGCAACCACACGUCCUGAGAGUUCAAAUUCACAAACAACAGUGUCUCCUAUUUUGAGGUUGUACUGUUGACAUACAUCCGCCCAGCCAAGGAAACUAGGUAAACCGUUGUAAUACUUAGUUAAGCCAUCCACUUUAUUUCCAUCGGGAAGAAUGAAGUACAUGGAGGAAUCAUGGGGACCAAACUCCAAGCCAUACUGCCUAAUCACCGGAAGGCCGACAUGCUACUUGCACAAAUAUGAAAGAUAUAUAGAAAAAGACGAGUCUUAGUUUCAGUUGCAAGUGCAACGAAUAAACUGUAACUUUGAUGACUAGAAACUAAAAAUGCUACAAGUAUUACCAGCAAAUGAUUUGUUUUCUUCAGCGUCUUCGCAAAAUAAGGGUUUUGGGGAUUUAAGAGGUAUCGCUCAGGGUUUUGCAAAUUAGCACAACUCUUUCUCCCUCGAGUAGUUGUUCUUCCACUUGCUGAAAAUUUAGCAGCCAAUACCGAAAACAAAAAUAGUCAGUCCAUAGAAGUCUUAGAGAUAAAGUAUAAUAGUUUUGAGUUUAAAGAACAUGAAGAUGGUUUCUUUUCAAUUUGAAUGGUAUUACCAGAGGCAGAGGUUGUCUCCUUUUGGGGUUCAAGUCCAAGAGGUGCAGAGAUGAUCUCUUUUCCAUCUUUCUUGAAGAUUUGCACUUGAAAAUACAUAGUGUCUUGGUGUGUGAAGACCAAGGUAUCAUCUGGACCUAAGAAGUUGUCGUCCACAAACUCAUCCCAGUCUUCUUUGAUCAUAAACAGACCUUUCUUGUCUGGGCGGAGCCAGAGUUGCCAAGAAUUGUUCCAUGGAACGCUAAACACCACUCUGUGCUCAAAAGACUCAUGGGUGCUUCUCAAGAACUCUUCCGGAAUAAUCCUCUUUAAGAAACCAAGAAGUCAGAAACAGUUGAGUAAACAAGUAUAACUUGCAUGCAAGCUUGAUUUGUAGCUAGAACAAAAACCAGCAAAAGCAUGAACUAAAAGCUAAUGAUCAUCACAUGCAUUUGUGUAAACGUUGAAGAUAACUAGAUAUAUAAUCUUCUUGGUAACAAAAGCAAGUUCAAUGGAACAGAGAGUGGAGAUCAGAGAUGUACCAUGGAUUUAGAUUUCCAGUUUUGACCUGGAGACAGAGACUUGGAGAAGCUAGACUUGCUCAGACAUUCUUGCAUCUUUCUCUCCUGCAACAUUCUUCUCUUCUUCAAACCCAAGAUCUAUUUUGAAAACUAAGGGUUGUGGUCUUUGUGGAGAGCUGAUCAUCAAUUGCAUGUGGUUAUAAAAAAGCAAAGCCAAAGUAAAUUGUAACAAAAUAAACUUAUUUUCCUUUUUUAGAACGUGAAAAGAUUUUCAGAAAAUAAAUAUUUUGUUUAUUAGUUGCGUUAUUCCUUAUUUUACCUCGCCGAUCGUGCCUUUUUAUAGAGGACGCAAUAACACCCCAAUUUAGAAUCCUUAGAAAUAUUUUAGUAAUAUAUUUUUUUUUUGAAUAGUUAAGGAUUCUAAUCAAGAUGGAGUUUUUAGGAAUAAAAAAGUAAUAUUUUUUUUUUUUAAAAAUUUUAAAUUGAAAUUGAAAUUUUAUUAAUUGCAUGAUUAAAAAUAAAGAUACAAUGAUUAAAUAUAAAAAUACACUAAUUAUUAAACUUCAUCACCAAAUUUGUUCUAAAUAUUUUCGAUUAAAUCAUUUUUCAAUCGUUCAUACAUAUGCCUAUCACGAAGAUCAUUCCGAACGCGAAAGAGAUUAUUCAGAUUUGUAAGCCUCUCGGUUUCCACCUGUGAACUUCUGUUGACGUCUCCUUCUUCAAAUUCAAAUAUAUCGUACCGCAUGUAUCUGCCUCGUUCAUUUUCAACUAUCAUAUUGUGUAGUAUGAUACAUGCUCUCAUAAUCUUUCCUAUCUUUUCUUUGUCCAAUGUAAGAACCGGGUUUCUCACAAUUGCAAAUCGAGCUUACAAUACUCCAAAAGCCCGCUCCACAUCUUUUCGGGUUGCUUCUUGAACUUUAGCAAAUAACUCUUGUUUAGGACAUUGAGGGAGUGUGAUAGAUUGGAUAAAUGUUGACCAUUUUGGAUAUAUACCGUCUGUGAGGUAGUAUGCCAACUUAUACAUGUGUCUGUUGACCACGUACCUUACCCUGGGAGCUCGACCUUCUAAAAUGUCAUCAAACACAGGAGACCGAUCGAGGACAUUGAUAUCAUUUAAGGUACCUGGAGGACAAAAAAAGCAUGUCAUAUCCAAAGAUCGUGUGAAGCUACAGCCUCUAAGACAAUUGUCGGUUUUCUUGAUCCACGUGCGUAUUGUCCUUUCCAAGCGGUCGGGCAAUUUUACCACUCCCAAUGCAUACAGUCAAUGCUCCCGACCAUCCCAGGAAACCCUCGUUUCUCUCCAAUAUCGAGGAGUCGUUAAAGAUCCUCCGGUGUGGGUCGUCGUAGAUACUCAUCUCCGAAUAACUGUAUUAUUCUGUCAGUGAAAUUAUGUAAACACGAAAGUGCAGUGGUCUCACCAAGUCGGAGAUAUUCGUCAACCGUGUCAGCCGCAGAACCAUAAGCAAGCAUACAAAUUGCUGCCGUACAUUUUUGUAGUGGAGAAAGACCAAACCUCCCCGUUGCAUCUCUUCUUUGCUGAAAGAAUGGAAUAUACUCUGAUAGGCCAUGUAUAGAGACGACCUUUGUUAUCGAAUUAUAUAUUUGUUAAUUACUUAUAUACUCAUGUUUCACAAAGAGUGUUUUGACACUUUUUGUUAUAUAAAAAUAGUCAUUCUAGAAUUCAAUGCAACUUAUAUUUAUUUUAAACUUAAUAUUAAUUAAAAAUUGCAUUGAUCUUGUAAAAAAAAUAUUUAUACUAUUGGUUAAAAUAAAAUGCGUAAUUAAUAAGAACAGAAAUAACUUCCAAUUGUUUUUUUUUUAAUUUAUGUGAAAAGUGUUCUUCGUAAAACAUGUUAAUCAAUAAACCUUUAUUAUCAUGGAAACAUUAAAAGAAAUGACAACAUUUUCAUCCAUCAAUUGAAAGACAUGACAAAGGAAGCUACUAUGCUAACUCUUCUGGAACAUAACCGAACAAUGUUGAAACAUGCCAGGGGCGAGUUGGCAAAUACCAACGUGAUACGCCACUAGGAACCAACCGUAACAUGCAGAAGCGAUGACUAAUAUCUCUGUAUCAAUGACAACACAAAACAACUUUCUUCUCCAUGUCAAUGGUAAAAAAACUCAUGGGAUUCGAAAUAAAAUGGACAUGAGGUUUUAAAUCCACUUUUAAGAACAUGCACCACGACACAAAUGUGGGAUCAAUCUCCUCGGUUAUCGAUAUAUUCACCAUCAGUGUCUCGUUACUCUGAUAUAACAACAAAAGAUGUUCUUCUCUAACAACCGAGAGAGCCAUAGUAUCAGAAUUAAAUGGUUCAUCAUGAGAGGUAGGAACACACAGACGUUGCAGUCUUUCUUCUGAAAAAUCAAAACUGAGUAGUGAGUAGUCAAACCCUUUAUGAUUAGAUAAAACCCAAUAAGUAUCUCCCUUUAAAGACACGCCACCAGGUUGUAAGUAGGCUUGUGUUGUGAUGACAUCAACACUCCUCCAUGAGUUAGAGCCAAACUCAUAGAUUUCAAAUCUUAAGUCGCCUUCGAGAUUUACAUCAAGUUUCUUCCAUGAUCCCAGUUUCCCGUGGUUGUAGUAACACGGAAGCCUCAAGAUUUUGUAGUUAUGGCACAGUUCGUUCUUGUCGUAUCCCAUAGCAUAGGCACCAUUGUAAUGCUUCUGCGGUUGGAUCCAUCUUGUUUGCCCCGAGAAAGGGUUCCAAACCACAAGCCUGUUUGACUUGGGGUGGGUGCAUAGCAACAUGCCAUCUCAGUGAAAGGCUUUAGUUACAUCGACUGGUUCAUUAUCAUGGGGAUCAACUAGGGUAAGUCCAUCUACACCAAGUAUUGUCUCUGCGUCAAAGUUAGCUCCAUGAAGAAUAGAACUCAAUGAGCAUGCCUUGUGAUUCAGCAUCAGAGCAUGAUACUGCCUUGUUUUAUCAAAGUGCUUCUUGAUGAAUCUUGGAUCUUUGAAUAAUGCUUGGUGGUACCAUCGUUUGCAUGGAGAUCGUAGUAUGCUCAGAGAUUUCACAGGAACCCUAGACAGUAUCUCUUCUACCAAUUCUUGUGGCAGAGUAGAGAUCAUUGUUGUUUCUAUUGUGAUAAGAUAUUAUGCACAAUUUUUAUAAUCUUUGUACCAAAAAAUGCGGACAAAGUUUUAAGUAAAUUUUGUAAAGCUCGAAAUAGUUUCAUACAUUUUUUGGCUAGUAAGAAUAUUUUCGGAAAGAAUAACUUGAGUUUCAGUAAUUUAUAUUCCGAAUGUUCCCUUUUUAUAAGAAAAUCAAAAUACUAAAAUUUGUUUAUUAACAUUAAUUAAUGAAAUAAAAAUAAGUGUAUUGUACAUUUAUCAUUUAAAUCUUACAUUUUUGAGAUGGUAACAAGUUUGUUUAUUAUUUUUGGUUUUUGCUCUCACAUAAAAGCUUCUUGACUUAUCAUCCCUUUAAUUGUUUCAACAUAAAGCUCAGAAUAUAUUUGGGAAAAGGCUCCUAUUAAGAUCACUACCUAACCAUUCCAAAGUAGUAUAUGUUAUACUACGGAGUUAUGUACCAAUCCGAACCAAAGUAUAUUAGCAGGUUAUACUAGUACUACGUACAUAUUAGCAUUGCAAGUUUGUUAAACCAACAUAAAUACAUUUAGUGCUACAAACUCGUUGAACCAACAUAGAGGUCACAUCUAGAGCAUUAAAAUAAUACAUAGGUUGGUAAAAGAUAUGCUUAGAAACCUAGCUAGUUCAUAGGAAUGAGACUAGAGCUAUCUCCUCAUUCAUUGAGGAAAUGAACUCUAACAGCUGCAACCACACGUCCUGAGAGUUCAAAUUCACAAACAACAGUGUCUCCUAUUUUGAGGUUGUACUGUUGACAUACAUCCGCCCAGCCAAGGAAACUAGGUAAACCGUUGUAAUACUUAGUUAAGCCAUCCACUUUAUUUCCAUCGGGAAGAAUGAAGUACAUGGAGGAAUCAUGGGGACCAAACUCCAAGCCAUACUGCCUAAU